RNAcentral lists this ribosomal RNA (279 nucleotides) under uncultured bacterium. Its description in RNAcentral is "partial 16S ribosomal RNA". It matches the Rfam family "Bacterial small subunit ribosomal RNA", at positions 506 to 784 of the family's 1533-position model. The record is from RNAcentral.
UGCCAUCAGCCGCGGUAAUACGUAGGUGGCGAGCGUUAAUCGGAUUUAUUGGGCGUAAAGGGUCCGUAGGAUGUCUGUCAAGUCGGGUGUGAAAUCCUGCGGCUCAACCCCGGAAGUGCAUUGGAAACUGGCGAACUUGAGUACGGGAGAGGAAAGUGGAAUUCCGAGUGUAGGGGUGAAAUCCGUAGAUAUUCGGAGGAACACCAGUGGCGAAGGCGGCUUUCUGGACCGAUACUGACGCUGAGACGCGAAAGCGUGGGGAGCAAACAGGAUUAGAUA